GGCCAAUGAUGUACUCAAAUGCACGUAUUAACAGAUUACUCUAUGAUGAUAUCGCAAUUGUCACUACCUCUGAGGCC
Molecule: small nucleolar RNA, 77 nt
Organism: Lotus japonicus
Lineage: Eukaryota; Viridiplantae; Streptophyta; Magnoliopsida; Fabales; Fabaceae
Product: small nucleolar RNA snoR122
Exons: 1
Source: RefSeq, a predicted model, not a curated record